ACCUCGAUGGUGUAGUGGUAGCACGCGUCCCCGCUAUGGAUGAGACGCGGGAUCGACUCCCGCUUGAGGUC
Parelaphostrongylus tenuis is the source of this 71-nucleotide non-coding RNA. Lineage: Eukaryota; Metazoa; Nematoda; Chromadorea; Rhabditida; Metastrongylidae. The record is from the annotation of a GenBank genome assembly.